UUGGAGGGCAAGUCUGGUGCCAGCAGCCGCGGUAAUUCCAGCUCCAAUAGCGUAUAUUAAAGUUGUUGCAGUUAAAAAGCUCGUAGUUGAAUUUCGGGGUUAGUAGGUUGGUCAUGCCUCUGGUAUGUACUGGUCUCACUGAUUCCUCCUUCCUGAUGAGCCGUAAUGCCAUUAAUUUGGUGUUGCGGGGAAUUUGGACUGUUACUUUGAAAAAAUUAGAGUGUUUAAAGCAAGCUAACGCUUGAAUACAUUAGCAUGGAAUAAUGAAAUAGGACGUUCGAUCCUAUUUUGUUGGUUUCUAGGAUUGACGUAAUGAUUAAUAGGGAUAGUUGGGGGCAUUAGUAUUCAAUUGUCAGAGGUGAAAUUCUUGGAUUUAUUGAAGACUAACUACUGCGAAAGCAUUUGCCAAGGAUGUUUUCAUUAAUCAAGAACGAAAGUUAGGGGAUCGAAGACGAUCAGAUACCGUCGUAGUCUUAACCAUAAACUAUGCCGACUAGGGAUCGGACGAUGUUAAUUUUUUAAUGACUCAUUCGGCGCCUUACGGGAAAC
This 549-nucleotide ribosomal RNA is filed under the name uncultured Glomeromycotina. Its description in RNAcentral is "SSU rRNA". It matches the Rfam family "Eukaryotic small subunit ribosomal RNA", at positions 548 to 1098 of the family's 1831-position model. The record is from RNAcentral. Lineage: Eukaryota; Fungi; Glomeromycota.